CGGGGCUCUCCCAGGCAGCGGAUUUUGAUUCCGCCAUGCGGAGGUUCGAAUCCUCCCGCCCCAGCCA
This 67-nucleotide transfer RNA is filed under the name Endobacter medicaginis. RNAcentral's name for it is "tRNA-Gln". Lineage: Bacteria; Pseudomonadati; Pseudomonadota; Alphaproteobacteria; Acetobacterales; Acetobacteraceae. The record is from RNAcentral.